This is a long non-coding RNA of Cuculus canorus (common cuckoo), 609 nucleotides long. RefSeq lists it as uncharacterized. The transcript is spliced from 3 exons. Lineage: Eukaryota; Metazoa; Chordata; Aves; Cuculiformes; Cuculidae. The record is from RefSeq and is a predicted model, not a curated record.
UGCUGCACCCAUACAGCCUGCAACAGGAUACUCUAAUUGCAGCAAUUUCAGGAGGAAGCUUGAGAGUCUGGUAGCACAAGCUGCAGCAGCUAUGUCAGGGAAAGGUUGGGCAUCCGGGCAUUUAGAGAGUCAGAGCUAUUGGCGUCACAGAGCUGGGAAGACCUAAGUCCUUCUCCCAUCCUCCUGUUUACCCCACCUGGCAUCAAGGCUUUGCUUUAGCAAGGUGGCAUGGCCCAGACCAGGCUGUGUAUUCACUUUGUAACACUAUGGAGGUGGCAAUAAGCCCUUUGCCCAGGAUGUAACCAGCGGAUACACUUUGCUAUGUAAUUCAACAAAUUCCAGCAUUUGCUAAUUUUUGAACACAGCUCUCCAGCAGCCUCAGGAAGCUUUGCAAAACGACCUAGCUGCAAGAGGCUCAGUUUCAUCAAUGGAUUUCAUCUUAAUGACUUUUCAAAGGAUGAAUAACAAUUCUUCAGGGAAGUAAAUCUGAGGAGCUAUAUGGAAAAAGAACUGGUCUAAACCUGAAAACAAUUCAUCUGGGAAACAAACAGAAAAAUCGUAUUUUAGCAUGCAAUGCAUACUUCAUUCGAUUCUGCUAAAUUGCCGUUG